AGCUCUGUGGGAUGUGCUGAAGUUCAGUUUUGACCUUGAGUAAUCGGUGUAAUGAAGGGUGUCCUCAUAGGACUGAGCUACCACAUCAGGAGACUUACAAGCUUAAGAUAGCUUACAGGUCCUUAUUUAUAGCUCUCAGACUUAAGCCCAGACCUGGAGACCCAUACAUUUGGGCUUAGAGGUUGCACUUCAGCAAGCCAUCCGGGACUCACUGCAUGAAUAGCCAGC
RNAcentral lists this long non-coding RNA (228 nucleotides) under Gallus gallus (chicken). The record is from RNAcentral. Lineage: Eukaryota; Metazoa; Chordata; Aves; Galliformes; Phasianidae.